Molecule: non-coding RNA, 4896 nt
Organism: Macaca mulatta (Rhesus monkey)
Lineage: Eukaryota; Metazoa; Chordata; Mammalia; Primates; Cercopithecidae
Source: RefSeq, a predicted model, not a curated record
AUUGGCUACUAAAAAAUGAUUGUUUUAGUGUUAUCAUAUUUCCUCGUUUUUCAUGUUUUUGCAUUGUUAUCUGUGCAUCUUCUGGAACAGUCUCUCCUUCCAGUUGUGUAGAGUAGCUUUCAUGCAGAAAACGUUUCACCUGGAGAUGGGUUUGAAGUGUCAGUUGGGUAGGAUGUGUUGGCCUUGUUCUGGGUGGAUGUAGUAAUGUAAACUCUGUGUAGUUUAUUUAGCUGCAUUCAACAUGGGAGAGGUCUCUGAGUGCCUCAGUGGCUUGGGCUGCAGAGGUCUGUGGGGCUGUGCAAACUUAAGUGCUCCUCCCCUGAGAGUGGGGCAGCUGGAUGAUCUAUGCUGUGGGAGAAGGACAAGUUUGUUCAGCCUGUGUGUGAUUAUAAUUAAACCACGUAACCAUUAAACAAAAAGAGGUUGGCAGAUUCUCUGGUCCAUGAGAAAAAUCACAGAGAACAUUAACUAUUAGUACAGCGGGCCUUCUUUUCAUUUCCUCACCUUUAUUAACCAAUAUUACCAGAAAUUAUGGACUACCUUUCUAGGAUCAUAAUUUUGAUUUGUAUUACUAGGGUUCAGCACCAAAUCCUCGACUUCAGGUCUGUAUCUCCUUAUAAUCUCUGCAUCCCUUCCUACAGCACUGUGGGAAUCUAUGCAGUAGGUUGUUCUCAAGGUCACUUUUGUGGUAGGCAGACACAAAGAUGGCCCCCAAAGGGCCUCAUCUCCUGGUAUUUGUGGUCUUAUGUAAUCCUUAGCCUUGGAGUAUAAGCUGGACCUAAUGCAAUGGUUAUAAUAAAUAGAAUAUGGUAAGUAUUCUAAUUAUGAUGGAAUAUGUAUUUUGGAGACAUCAGGGGUCAAAUGUGUCAGGUUACUGUCCAAGCCAGGCUGGGAAAGCAUAGACACCCCACGAAACUGAUGGCAAAUGGCCCUGUAUUCCUUUUUUUGACCUGAGGGGUUGUUCCUCUCAGCCUCAGCCUCCACAGUCCUUGCUGUGAUGCAGAUUCAGAAGUAACCAAUCCCAAGAAAGGACUCACACUGUAUAGAGGAUAGGGAAAACUAUCCUUAUAUUAACCACCAAAAUUAGGAGUCAGAAUGCUUCCACCCACUGCACCCUGGGUUGCAGUUUUACCAAUUGCCAAGUACCGUGAGAGAACAAACACCCAACCAGCUAUAUGAAGCAGGUUUAUUACACACAGAUAGGCAGCAAGGGACAACAGAAGCCUAGAAGCACUAUGAGCCAGUCCCGUCAGGUUCAAGAAAGUUGCCAAUGAUGGAUGGAGUCUCAACUGCAUGUGCCCUAAUUGCACAACAGCUGAAGGUCCCCAAAAGGUAGCCUGACCAGGGUUAUAUGCCUCAGGGGCAUUGUGAAUCACUGAAAAAAGCUUUGAAGGACUUCCUGCUUCCACAGGAGAGAGGAACAAAAGCCCAGGCUGUCCCAGGCAGUUCCUCCCUAACUCAAAAUGUUGCAUUCCCUAGGAGGGACAGGAACAAAGUCUGGGCUGUUUCAGGUAGUUCCUGUGCAUCUCAGGAUAUUUACUGCAUUUCCAGCACAUUCUAAAGUUAUUCUUGAGAACUGCAAGCAAGAAUGAAGGAGAACUGUGUCAGUCCAUGACCUCCUAAAGAAGUGCCCUGCAUCUGUCAUCAGAUAGCAGCAGCAGAAGGAGGAAGAUAAGGAGAGGCAGUGAGUCUGAUUCGGCUGGGAUGAAUGAGGGAUCUGGUGGUAAAGAGGAAAGGAAGUGAAGAAACAGAGACACAAAUCUAACACCUGAACACAGCUCCUGUAACCACAGCCCCAGUGAUCACAGCUCCAGCAACCACAACGCCAGUGACUACAGAAGGACGGCAGAUGGAGCACCAUGCAUCCCCACAGAGGGGCUGUCCUGCGGUCCUUACAGGAGUUGCCAAGCUCCCAGAAUCUCCUCCUGCUGCUGUCCCCACCCUGCCUGAAAGAGAGUUCUCACCACCUCCUCCCAGGCUAAACCCUUCAUGUUGCAGGAGACAGAGAAUCCCAGGUAAGACCUGGACUUUUUCUCCCCGCUCCCUUCCUUCCUUUUUUCACCGUGUGUGUUCAGGAUAAAUUAUCUUGGUUUUGUUUCUGGAGGGAAAAGGGCAGAGGCCCUGACUUGAAUCUCAAUCACAUUUCUACACACAGUACCUGAAGAGACAGAAUAGCAGAGGGGUGGGAACAAUUAACAUUGCUCUAUAGGCUUUAGAAUGGAGAAAACAUAAUGCCCACUCUUUUUUCUUUUACCCAAAUCCAACUUCAGUUUUCUCUCCAACUCUCUAAAACCACCACCAAUACUAUUAUCAUAUCAUGUGUAGUACUUGGGGGGUGGUGAAAGGCUGAGUGUGAAUCAUGUUCAGAUAGCAGGGUGUUAAACGAAAUAGUUCCUCACAUCAAUGCCCGAAGUCAUCCUUGGUCACAAUAAAAGAGAAUAGAGAGAAAAAAGUAUGAUUAUUGUAUUAGAUAGUGGGGUUGCAGGGUUUUUUUAUUUUUAUUUUAAAAAUUAUUUUGUUAUGAUGAUAUCAAUUUUUUAAGAAAUAAAAGAAUGGAAAAAGUUGACGGGAUUUCAUAAUGCAAAGAAAAAAGCAAAACAAAAAACAACAAAAAGCAAACAAAAUAAAAAUUUAUAUGUAAUACCAAAUUUAAUCCCUUCGUAACUCUGUGAAGUGGGUCAGUACUGAUGGGUCAGCUUAACUAACAGAUACUAGGAAUAGAUCCAAAAAUAACCAGCCAUGAUCGUAUAGCUUGUGGAACCCAAGUUCUGUGACACUCAGCCCAGUGUUCCACGUACAAUGGCAACCUAAGCGAGGAGGGGGCCUCAGAGAUGAGGUGGCCGACCCUUGCAAUGUUGAUAUUCUCCAGCUUUCUCAGAGCAAGUGGCUGAAUCUCUUUCGUGACAGACAACUCACCACCUACCAAAGCAGCCCAUUUUAUUAAGUCUAAUUUUUAAAAAAGAUCCUUAUGAUGAGCACAAUUCUGUCUCUCUCAUACUCUAUGGAAACGACCAAUUUCUAACCUCUAUGUCACCAAGAAUAAGUAUAAAUCUUCACAUAAUAGCCCUCCAAAUAUGUGAAAUCUCUAUAGUCAUAGCCAGGUAUAUUGCAUCAAAAUAAAUGGCUAUUUUCUGCAGGAGGGUUGGUCCAAAUGUCCUAGCCCACCAUUACUAGAAACAAGAAGUCCUCCCUAUUUUUUGAAUAACUAUAUUUAUUUGCUCAAAUCAUACUUAUUAGGGGCCUGCUAUCUGCCAUGCAGUGGGGAUGCAGCAAUACACACGUCAAAUAGAUAUGCAUUUGGAGUGUGGAAGUGGGUGCCCACCCUAGUCGGGGAGCAUCUCAGGAUGUCCUCCUUGAGGAGAUGACAUGUCAACUGAGCCCAGAGGACAACAGGAGUUGACAGGGAAGAGUAUUUCCUAGAGGGAGAAGCUGGAGGCAGCUGUAGUGAGGUGCUGAUGGGUUCUGGCCACCACCUGGACCACCUAGAUUUGAUGUUUCUCCACCCCCACUUAGUUGUGUGACCCUGGACAAGUUCCUCACCCACUGCGUGCUUUAGAACCCUCACUGUGAAACAGGAGGUGUGACAGGAAUGUUGUGAGGAUUGUUUGAGUGAAUACAUAUGAAGGACUUAGGACAAGCCUGGCACAUUGUUAAUGCUCAAUCAAUGUUUGCUCUCCCGACUGGAGGGAAACAAGGUAGCAGGCAGGAGCAGGGAGUGUGCAGACAGUUCCUGCUAAGCCUUGUAAGUCAUUCAUGGCCCAGCACUGUAACCAGAGAAGUGAGGAUGAGACUUCCACUUUGAGAAAGGCCUCUCUGGCCGCAGCAUGUAGAGGAAUGGGAGGGGAUUAGAAUGUGUGUGCAUGGACUAGGUGCGAGGUAACUGCAGGGCCAGCAUCUGUGGCACAGAUUAUCUCUCUUCAUCCUGAACCCCUCCCUCUUCCUGUCUUGAAUCCUUUUCCCAUUCCUGACCACAUCCUCCACCUGUCAGAAAGUCACAGGUGUUAAGGAAGAGAUUUCUGAGCACACUUUGGACAGAAGUCAUGAUGAUGGGGCCCAUGACUAGGAACCUGCUGGGAGAGGUGGCCUGCAGUGUGUCUGGAGUACACGGGGGACCCUGGGAGCAUCUUCUGUGGCCGUGGCCCAGGCAGGCCUGCAUCACUUGGUGCUGUACCACUAUCAGAUCCACCACGGGAGCCAUGUGCUGUCCAUUCCACAAGGAGCUCUUUCAACAGGGAGAUGUCAGGCCCAACUGGAUUCUAGCCACCUUGGUCUCCAGUCUCCUACUCUCAAGCCCAUGAGUGACAAUCCAGCACAGGAAAUUUGGUUCUGUGAGCAGCAUCUAUUGGCAGGAUGACCAGCAAUUCUUGUGUGUGGUUUGCAAAGAUCUUACGGAGCACAAAUGUUACGUAGUGCUGCAGAAGAACAAUGCUAGGUUCCACAGGUAGUCUGUCCUUUUGUUGUCUUGUCUACACCACAGAACCUUUGGUCGACUUGCCUUAUUAUUGGUUUCAGUCCUAUUACAAAACAACAACAACAACAAAUUAUUGUAUUCUAAACACAGUUCUAAAUGCAACAAUAGUUUAUCUUUUAAUCCUGUAUUAUACAGUUUACAAUUACUUGCAAAUGCAUAGUACCUCACUCCAAAAAACCUCAGGCAUCCAGGCAUCACAAUUUCUCUCUCUGCAUGACACAGAAACUUCCAUGUCACUAGAGGAUUUCACAAUCCAUAUACAAAUCCCCUGAAGACUUCUAGGUGUAAAGGAAGCAUCACUGGACACAACACUGAAAAUGGCAAUAGGCCAGGCAUGGUGGCUCAUGCCUGUAAUCCCAGAACUUUGGGAGGCUGAGGCAGGAGGAUCACCUGAGGUCAGGAGUUUGAGACUAGCCUGGCCAACA